Molecule: ribosomal RNA, 474 nt
Filed under: uncultured bacterium
Lineage: Bacteria
Description: bacterial SSU rRNA
Rfam family: Bacterial small subunit ribosomal RNA
Source: RNAcentral
GGACGAACGCUGGCGGCGUGCUUAACACAUGCAAGUCGAGCGAUGAAGCUUCUCGGAAGUGGAUAGCGGCGACGGGUGAGUAACACGUGGGUAACCUGCCUCAUAGAGGGGAAUAGCCUUCCGAAAGGAAGAUUAAUACCGCAUAAGAUUGUAAUAUCGCAUGAUAUAGCAAUUAAAGGAGUAAUCCGCUAUGAGAUGGACCCGCGUCGCAUUAGCUAGUUGGUGAGGUAACGGCUCACCAAGGCGACGAUGCGUAGCCGACCUGAGAGGGUGAUCGGCCACAUUGGGACUGAGACACGGCCCAGACUCCUACGGGAGGCAGCAGUGGGGAAUAUUGCACAAUGGGGGGAAACCCUGAUGCAGCAAACCGCCGCGUGAGUGAUGACGGUCUUCGGAUUGUAAAGCUCUGUCUUCAGGGACGAUAAUGACGGUACCUGAGGAGGAAGCCACGGCUAACUACGUGCCAGCAGCAGC